AGAGUGAAAGACGGAGGAGAGCAGUGUGGGAGAGGAAUCGGAAAACGCUCGAACGGCGGUGAAUGCGUCGGUGACCUGACCAGUGAAGAAUUCAGACACUGAUGAAUGACCUUAAAAUCCAGAAGGACACAGAGGGGAAAGUGUUUGAAAUACCCUUCUUUGCUGAUUUCAUUGUACCUGUGGACAGGAGACAGACAGCCGGGAUGGGCUGGCACGCACGGAAGGGAAGCUUCUCUGAAAAGGAAGUGCGAUUCUUGCUGGAGCUUAGCGCAGGCGGCAAGGAGUAACCACCACAUCCCACGUUCUGAAGGUUUCCUGCCAAGUUUCCUGGCAUCCAGCCUUGUUAGGCACUGUCUGUAUCCCUCGGUAUGAUGGGCUCCAGGUCAACGACCCCGCAGCAGACACUGCCAGCUUCUUCGCUUACUCGGGAGGGAGAGAGUCACCCUGGCUGCCUCUGCCCUCUGCCAGCUCAGCCGAUGCCACGUUUCAUAGACUGUUACUUCUAAUGCCCCAUGUCCACGUCCCGGUCUCUCCAUUAGACGUGAUGCUCCCAGCUUCAGGUGACAGAAGCCUAACUCAACAUGCUUUCACACAAGUUCUUGUGUUUGCAUGUGAAACAGGGCAGGUGAUCUCGAAGCACAGCGGGAGUCCCUCAGAAGCUUGGUGGGUGUGGGACAAACCUCCCUGAGCCCUGUCACCACGCCCCGUGCACAGUCCUUCCCCCCCAUCCUCUCUAGCUCCCGGCUCCGGGCUCCGCUCUCGGACUUCUCAGACUCACUCUUGGCAAUUACAGACUCAUCCACUUCUCAGGACGGCAUCCUCAGAAAAGGGAAAGGAUCCUGCCGAAUCGCGCAGACGAUGUUGGAACGGUUCCAUUGGCUCUACUGGGCUGUGGCAGGUGCUCGUUUUAAAUCAUCUCUGUAGAGUGUAGGUGAAGGGGCAGGUCUCAGCUCCAUCCCGGAGACAGGUCUGGUGGGCAACAUCAGAAACACUCCC
Molecule: long non-coding RNA, 996 nt
Organism: Mustela erminea (ermine)
Lineage: Eukaryota; Metazoa; Chordata; Mammalia; Carnivora; Mustelidae
Exons: 3
Source: RefSeq, a predicted model, not a curated record